AUUGAACGCUGGCGGCAGGCCUAACACAUGCAAGUCGAGCGGAUGAAGGGAGCUUGCUCCUGGAUUCAGCGGCGGACGGGUGAGUAAUGCCUAGGAAUCUGCCUGGUAGUGGGGGAUAACGUCCGGAAACGGGCGCUAAUACCGCAUACGUCCUGAGGGAGAAAGUGGGGGAUCUUCGGACCUCACGCUAUCAGAUGAGCCUAGGUCGGAUUAGCUAGUUGGUGGGGUAAAGGCCUACCAAGGCGACGAUCCGUAACUGGUCUGAGAGGAUGAUCAGUCACACUGGAACUGAGACACGGUCAAGACUCCUACGGGAGGCAGCAGUGGGGAAUAUUGGACAAAGGGCGAAAGCCUGACCCAGCCAUGCCGCGUGUGUGAAGAAGGUCUUCGAAUUGUAAAGCACUUUAAGUUGGGAGGAAGGGCAGUAAGUUAAUACCUUGCUGUUGUGACGUUACCAACAGAGUAAGCACCGGCUAACUUCGUG
This 484-nucleotide ribosomal RNA is filed under the name uncultured bacterium. RNAcentral's name for it is "partial 16S ribosomal RNA". It matches the Rfam family "Bacterial small subunit ribosomal RNA", at positions 30 to 507 of the family's 1533-position model. The record is from RNAcentral.